AUGGCGGAGACGGCGAUCACGGCGGUGCUCUCCAAGUUCGGGCAGCUGGUGGCGAGCGAGGCCAACAUGCUGCUUCAAGUGGGCGAUGACAUGAUGCUCAUGCGCGACCGUCUUGAGUGGCUCCAGGCCUUCAUCCGCGGCACCGACCCGUUGAGCCAGGUGUGGCUGCGCCAGACGCGCGAUAUCGCCUUCCAAGCUGAGGAUGUACUCGACCAGGUUGACCUUAAAAGCAAGGGUUAUCGAGGUUGGAAAGUAUGGCAAAAAUAUUUGACUGGUUUGUGCACCCAAAUCGCCAUUCGACACAGGUUGUCUGUCCGAAUCAAAAUAAUCAAUAGAAGACUACAAAAAAUGUUGGAGAACCAAAAGGAAUACAAGAUUGAGCAUAGACCAUUAGCGACAUUGGCAUCAUCCACUACGGCCACAUCAGCAUGGCGGGAUGGUUAUAAGAACGCGGUGGGUUUGGAUGAAGAUGUGAAGACACUUGAGAAAAUGCUGCUUCAUAAAGAUCAACCUCAGCAAAUGUUUGUGUCCAUACUUGGGGAGAGUGGUGUCGGAAAGAAAACACUAUUAUGUGCUAUCAUCGGACAUACUGAUGUGAUUUAUGAGUUUGAAAUUGUAGUUUGGUUCAACAUGCCGGCAGAUUACACCACAGAAGAUCUCCUCCAAGAAAUCUACGAUAGAGCAUGUGAAAGUGCACCACAACAUCAUCCAAAUGAAGGCAUUAAUAUCGCUGAUAAGCUCCGACACCUCCUGAAGAAAAAGAGGUAUUUGGUGAUUAUCGGAGGCAUAUGCUCCAAAACCAUCCUCAACUGUGUGAGGGUGAGCCUACCAGAUGACAAUAAUGGUAGCCGUGUUGUGCUCGUGUUGGACACUGAGAGCGAAGAAGUAGCAUGGCAUGCUAACACCAUGAACAAAGAUGGCAUAAAUGGAAUCCACAUGUUGGGCCGUUUGGAUGAAAAGAGAAGUAGGCAAUUGUUCUGUUCGAGGGCCUCGAGGAAAGAAUUGUCCGAUGUGAAGGAAAACGGGGAAAUGAGCAAAUACAGCAAAAUUGUGUACGAUAUAACUGGGGGCUACCCUCUGGCUAUAGUGCUCCUGGCUGGACUCCUCCGAUUCAAGGAGAAGCCAGGGCAGUGGGAAGCAGUGCUGCAACAGCUCAGGCUUAUACCAAGAAUGGAAGAUGCACAAGGUGUUGAGGAAAACAAGAUAACUGAAUCUGUACUGUCCAAGGGGGUGCAUAUCGAGUGGCAGAUGAGCCCUAUAACAAAAAGUAAGCUCUCCACAAGAACAACCACCAUCGAGAGGGUCUUCUGGGCAAGUUUUGAAGACAUUCCAAAUGACCUCAAGUCUUGCUUCCUCUACUUGGCCGCCAUCCCAAAGAACACAACUAUAUAUACUGAUGAGGUUGUGAGGAUUUGGAUGGCUGAGGGUUUCAUCAAGCCGCAGCAGGGCAAGACUUUGGAGGAGCUGGGUCACGCCUACCUCAAGGAACUGGUCUUGAGAUGCCUUGUUCAUAUUGAUAAGAUGAACGAUGUUGGCAUAAUUGAGAAGGUCGUCGUUCACCAAAGCCUCUAUGGUUUCCUCCAUUCAGAGGCUCGCGAGGCUGGAUUCAUGGAUGUUCAUGGCAUGCAUGACGUCUUUGUUCCACCAUCGGUGCGCCGGCUCUCUUUCAUGAGUUUCAAAGGUGGACAUAUGAUGAGAUUCACCAACAAGUUCUGUAAGCUACGUUCCAUCAUAUGCUGGGUCCAGGAGAAAGACCGGAGCAAUGACGGCCAAGGAGUGAACCAGAAGCGCCGACAUGAUCUCAAGUUUCUUUGUGGGUCCAAGUUCAUUCGUGUAAUCUCUGUACAUGGAUUAUGGAUUAAGGAAGUGCCGAAUGAGAUUGGUCGCGUGGUACACUUGCGAUACCUAAAUGUUAGUGGCUGCAAGGACCUGAAGAAGCUUCCCUCCAGCAUCAAGAGCCUGCUCAACUUGCAGACACUAGACAUAACGGGGACUCAAGUCAAGGAGAUUCACCCAUCCUUCUGGAAGAUAAAGACGUUGCGCCAUGUGUUUGCAGACGAGCUCACACUUCCAGCAUCCAUCAAGGAAGAACUGGAGGAGCUGCAGACGCUAUGGGGUGUAAAACCUGCCCCAGCAGGAGAAUGGGUUCAAGGGAAUUGCCCACUGCACAAGAUGACCAAACUCCGGACACUGGGUCUGCAAGGAUUCAAGCAAUCUAAACAUGGGGCCGCACUUGAGAGUGCUCUGAGGAAGAUGAGUCUCCUUCACCACUUGGACUUGACAGGCGAUGAGAUCCCUUCAUGUGUCUUCACGGCACAAAACCUUCGAUGCCUUGAGAUGGUAGGGCUUCGUGGCACAAUCAAAUGGCCCGAGGUUGUGUCGGAUGUUCGCAAGGUCCGGCCGAACCUCGUUCGGCUCACAGUGGUAAAGGGUAACGGCCAGGAGGUGCCCGAGCAUAUCAAGGACCAACUGCACGGGAUACUAGAGGUAAGCGGUCCAUAG
This 2502-nucleotide ribosomal RNA is filed under the name Triticum aestivum (bread wheat). Its description in RNAcentral is "partial small subunit ribosomal RNA". The record is from RNAcentral. Lineage: Eukaryota; Viridiplantae; Streptophyta; Magnoliopsida; Poales; Poaceae.